Molecule: long non-coding RNA, 2656 nt
Organism: Bos taurus (domestic cattle)
Lineage: Eukaryota; Metazoa; Chordata; Mammalia; Artiodactyla; Bovidae
Source: Ensembl
CCCCUGGAAGCAAAACCUGCUUUCUGUCUCCGUGGGUUUGCCUGUCCUGACAUUUCCCAUAAAUGGAUUCACACAGUAUCUGCCCUUUGCAUCCAGCACCCUUCACUGAGCAGACUGUCUGCAGGGUUCACGGUGCUGCAGCGAGCGUGAGGCUCCAUCCCUUCUUAAGGCCGGAUGGUCAGUCCACGCACUUUAUGGACAGACUGCCUCUGUGUCCUCAGCUGAGGACCCUGGGGCUGUCCCCACCGUCUGCUGUCCCAUGUCUCCCGGGUAAAGCCGAGGAGUGGAAUCACUGGGUCGUGCGGCAUUUCUAUGUGUACCUUUUGGAAGAACGGCAACAUCACUCUCUAAUCCGUUAUUUUCUUUUUCUUUUUUUUUAAAUUUCAGUUAAUCACUUUAUUUGACUGCACCGGGUCCUCAUUGUGGUGCGUGAACUCCUGGUUAAGCAUGUGGUUUCCUGACCGGGAUCAAACCCAGGCCCCUGCGCUGGGAGGGCGCAGUCUUAACGUCUGGACCACCACAGGAAGUCCUUACUUUAUUUCUAAUUUCCCUUCACUUGCUCUUUCCUUUGACAGCUUAAAAAAUGGGAAGACCUUUUCAGCAAAGCAAAAGAAACAAGUCACAACUUAGGUGUGAAUUAAAUGCGACACAUUUUAAAUACACCCCAACCACGUUUGAUUUUCCCCUUGUCUUUACUUCUGCAUACAGCAUUAAUUUAUCAGAAAUCAUGAUACUGUGGCUUUGACUUGGCUUUGUCCUAAAAAGAUUUCUCGUUCAGGGCCCUGGAGGCUGCCCCAAGGCCCAGAAGGGGAAUCUGCUGGACACUGACCCCGGGCCUGUCGGCCUGGCCGGCCGGGCCUUGCCUUCUGCACUCCCUGUAGGUGGUGAGUCUGCUGGACGGUGGGCCUAGACACUGACCCUGGGCCUGUCAGCCUGGCCGGCCGGGCCUUGCCUUCUGCACUCCCUGAAGGUGCUGAGUCUGCUGGACGGGGUGGGGGGCCUGGACACUGACCCCAGGCCUGUCAGCCUGGCCGGCGGGGCCUUGCCUUCUGCGCUCCCUGUAGGUGAUUCAAAGCCACUCCUUCAGAGUGAAGACAUUAAGGUCGACCUGACUGCCCCCAGGAGUUUCCUUGUGCAGCAAGCUCAGGGAUUUCCCUCCAAAAUCCUGUGAAAGCCGCUGGGUCUCCGAGGACCAGGCCUUCUUUCAGAGGAGAGGAGCUGCUUGUCUCUGAAGCAGCUCAGCAGGGGAAGGACUAUUUGCAUUGGGUUUUGUUUAAUUUGCCCGAGCCAAGCACACCGAGUCCAUUUGCCAUCACAUUAUCUAAGACAGCUCCAGAGCUUCUCAUUCUAGGAUCAAUUCCAUCCCGGAGUGACAUCCACUUAACACCCAGGGCCCCAUGCUUUUAGCUGAAUAAAGGUCAGGCCGUCCGCCGUCUCGGUGGCCGCCCAUCAUCGCAAGGGACGAGAGGCCCCCCAGGGAAGGUUAACGGAUGCAAAGCUCCGGGCUCACCUCCGCAAGCAGGAGACAUUUCCAUUUUUACUCCGUUUGGUGGACUCACUGAGGGAAUGAGCCUGCGAUGCACAGUGAGGCUGCAGCUCCUCCGGGGACCUGGCAUGCCCGUGCCCUCUGCAGACGGCGGCACGGCCUUGGUCCUCUCUGCCCGCAGCUGAGCAUCUCUCUAGUCCACCCGCGGGCGCCGUUCCAGGCGGCGCUGGGCCCGGAAACUCCGAAGACUCGCUCAGGCUGCAGGCUGGCGUCCUGGGUUCUGCCUCGGCAUCCAGGGCCGCGCGGGUGUUUCUGCGUUUGCCUGUGACCGCGUGUCCUCAGGAGGGCUGCGAGAGGCCCCUCCGCAGGUGUGGGGUCCUUCUCAGAGUCCACUCCGGAGCUGACCCCCUUGUCUGGGCCGACCAUCACCUGGGCUUCCUUCUCCCACGCUGGCUUCUCAUUCGUGACCAUCUGUAAUAAGACGAUCCGUUUUCAUGUUUUAGUUCUGUUUCCCAGCCAUGUGCUCGGUGAUCUUCGUGGCAGUUCCUCCCGUCUGAUUCUCGUGGGUUUCCCGGGAGCCUGGGGGUAAUUCAGCUCCUUCUUCCUGUUUUAACCCUCUGAUCUGCCCCCCACCCCCAACAGAUAGUUCAAAAGGGUAAUGGCUCCAGUGGGGGUGGCACAGCCCCCCGACCACCACCGGGCUCCUGGGGGGGAGUGGUCCCUGAGGACGAGUCGCCUGCCCCUCAUCCCCUGGAUAGCGCCUGUCUACAGCAGCAACAGCCACAGAGAGGGGGGCGUGAUUCUUCUCCUUACGCCUCCCGGAUUGAUGACUUUUAGAAACAAUUUUACUUAUUUGUUACUUUGGCUGCGCUGGUUCAUCAGCGCUGCUGGGGCUUUUCUCUCCUUGCUGCACGCAGGCUUCUCAUUGCAGCGGCUCCUGUAGGUUUGCAGCGCGGGCUCUGAGGCAAGCGGGCUUCGUAGCUGCAACACGUGGGCUGAGUGGGUUCGGCUCCCAGGCUCAGGAUCACAGGCUCAGGAGUUGUGGUGCCUGGGCUCAGCUGUGCUGCGCAAGUGGGAUCUUCUGGAUCAGGAAUCGAACCCCUGUAUCCUAGGCCACCAGGGAAGCACAUGGAUUGAUGAAUUAGAAAAUUUUUUUAUACUGAUUUUAAA